This 478-nucleotide ribosomal RNA is filed under the name uncultured bacterium. RNAcentral describes it as "partial 16S ribosomal RNA". It matches the Rfam family "Bacterial small subunit ribosomal RNA", at positions 28 to 523 of the family's 1533-position model. The record is from RNAcentral.
GACGAACGCUGGCGGCGUGCUUAACACAUGCAAGUCGAACGGUAAGGCCCUUCGGGGUACACGAGUGGCGAACGGGUGAGUAACACGUGGGUGAUCUGCCCUGCACUUCGGGAUAAGCCUGGGAAACUGGGUCUAAUACCGGAUAGGACUCCUGGCUUCAUGGUUGGGGGUGGAAAGCUUUUGCGGUGUGGGAUGGGCCCGCGGCCUAUCAGCUUGUCGGUGGGGUAAUGGCCUACCAAGGGGACGACGGGUAGCCGGCCUGAGAGGGUGACCGGUCACACUGGGACUGAGAUACGGCCCAGACUCCUACGGGAGGCAGCAGUGGGGAAUAUUGCACAAUGGGCGCAAGCCUGAUGCAGCGACGCCGCGUGAGGGAUGACGGCCUUCGGGUUGUAAACCUCUUUCAGCUAUGACGAAGCGCAAGUGACGGUAGUAGCAGAAGAAGGACCGGCCAACUACGUGCCAGCCGCCGCGGUAA